This 76-nucleotide transfer RNA is filed under the name Ixodes scapularis (black-legged tick). It matches the Rfam family "tRNA". Rfam says of the family: Transfer RNA (tRNA) molecules are approximately 80 nucleotides in length. Their secondary structure includes four short double-helical elements and three loops (D, anti-codon, and T loops). Lineage: Eukaryota; Metazoa; Arthropoda; Arachnida; Ixodida; Ixodidae. The record is from Rfam by way of RNAcentral.
GCCGUUGUGGCUUAGCUCGGUGGUAAAGCGUCCGCUUCGCACGCAGAGUACCCAGGUACGAUUUCUGCUGACGGCG